AGGGUUUGAUCCUGGCUCAGAACGUACGCUGGCGGCACGCCUAACACAUGCAAGUCGAACGAAGUAGCAAUACUUAGUGGCAGACGGGUGAGUAACAUGUAGGUAUCUGCCCUUUGGCCUGGAAUAACACGAGGAAACUUGUGCUAAUACUGGAUAAGUCUUUACGGAGAAAGCUUUAUGCACCAUUGGAUGAGCCUGCACUUGAUUAGUUUGUUGGUGGGGUAAUGGCCUACCAAGACUUUGAUCAAUAGCUGAUUUGAGAGGAUGAUCAGCCACAUUGGGACUGAGACACGGCCCAAACUCCUACGGGAGGCAGCAGUGGGGAAUCUUGCACAAUGGAGGAAACUCUGAUGCAGCGAUGCCGCGUGAGUGAAGAAGGCCUUUGGGUUGUAAAGCUCUUUCGUCGGGGAAGAAAAUGACUGUACCCGAAUAAGAAGGUCCGGCUAACUUCGUGCCAGCAGCCGCGGUAAUACGAAGGGACCUAGCGUAGUUCGGAAUUACUGGGCUUAAAGAGUUCGUAGGUGGUUGAAAAAGUUGGUGGUGAAAUCCCAGAGCUUAACUCUGGAACUGCCAUCAAAACUUUUCAGCUAGAGUUUGAUAGAGGAAAGCAGAAUUUCUAGUGUAGAGGUGAAAUUCGUAGAUAUUAGAAAGAAUACCGAUUGCGAAGGCAGCUUUCUGGAUCAAUACUGACACUGAGGAACGAAAGCAUGGGUAGCGAAGAGGAUUAGAUACCCUCGUAGUCCAUGCCGUAAACGAUGUGUGUUAGACGUUGGAAAUUUAUUUUCAGUGUCGCAGCGAAAGCGAUAAACACACCGCCUGGGGAGUACGACCGCAAGGUUAAAACUCAAAUGAAUUGACGGGGACCCGCACAAGUAGUGGAGCAUGUGGUUUAAUUCGAAGAUACGCGCAGAACCUUACCAACACUUGACAUGUUCGUCGCGACUUUAAGAGAUUAAAGUUUUCGGUUCGGCCGGACGAAACACAGGUGCUGCAUGGCUGUCGUCAGCUCGUGUCGUGAGAUGUUGGGUUAAGUCCCGCAACGAGCGCAACCCUCACUUUUAGUUGCCAUCAUUAAGUUGGGCACUCUGAAAGAACUGCCAGUGAUAAGCUGGAGGAAGGUGGGGAUGACGUCAAGUCCUCAUGGCCCUUACGUGUUGGGCUACACACGUGCUACAAUGGUAUCUACAACAGGAAGCAAGACGGCGACGUUAAGCAAAUCCUUAAAAGAUACCUCAGUUCGGAUUGUACUCUGCAACUCGAGUACAUGAAGCUGGAAUUACUAGUAAUCGUGGAUCAGCGUGCCACGGUGAAUGCGUUCCCGGGUCUUGUACACACCGCCCGUCACACCAUGGGAGUUGGUUCUACCUUAAGGCAAGGUUUAAAACCCUUGACCACGGUAUAGUCAGCGACUGGGGUGAAGUCGUAACAAGGUAACCGUA
This 1439-nucleotide ribosomal RNA is filed under the name uncultured bacterium. Its description in RNAcentral is "bacterial SSU rRNA". It matches the Rfam family "Bacterial small subunit ribosomal RNA". The record is from RNAcentral.